AAAAUUUUCAUUUUUUAUUUAUUUCUUGUGUACAAAGUAAAAAAAAAGAAAGAAACAAGUAAGACAUCAAAGUGCUGUUACAAAAGACAACAUUGGAACAGGAAAUAGAAUCAAAACACUUUCAAAACAAACAGAAACAUUUGGACAUUUAGAUAUAAUAAAUAGUUGGACAAACUGUCCAAACAGAAAUUAUGUUUCAAUAUAUCUUUGUAUACAGAGGAUUAUUUCCUAUUCUAUUUACCUUAUUGAAUCUUGAGUGGGGAGUACUUUUAAUUUUACUGUGGGAUCAGUCUCAGAGAAUCUAGAUAGUACCUCCUAGACUUGUGCAUUAAUAAGAGUUCUGCACUAAAUACUAAUGCUAACAAAUGAAGUAAAAAAAAACAUUUAUGUUCCAUAUGCAAGAACAUCUACACCUUUUUAUAAUCAAACAUGAAUGAAAGUGUUCUCUGAACGGAAUUAGAACAACUGUUGCAUAAUAUACAUACAUCUUUUAAUUACCCCUGUAUCAGUUUGAGCUGCUUGUACAUGCAAAGUAUUUCUAAUAUGAAUGUCUGUGAAUCAUUGAACUGUACACAGCAAUGAGAACAACAUUUGGGGAAGAGAUCGUUCUGUCUUUGUGCUUAGGCUAUAUUGCACUUGUAUUUGGUUCACAACUAAGACAAAAGGACAAUCCUCUCUUAGUAAAAAGUUUCAAUUAAAGGCAAACAGUAUCAGGAUAGAAGUACAUACAGAAACAAACUUCAUUAUAUUUUGAUUGACUCUGGCAAGAGAACACGUUGAUUGUGUACAGAUUGUCUUACAGCAUACCACACUAAUGUCAAGGAAAAUGUGAAAUAGCUUUGAUCUCUUUGGAAAUUUGAUGGCAAAUACAUUCAUAUUACAAUGUCAUGUCAGAGCAAGAAUAAGCUGAACCUAUUUCAAUGCCUUAAAUCCAAAGCCAUGUCAGAGCAUCUACCAGUUGAACCUAUUACAAUGUCCUGAACCCAAAGCCAUGUCAGAGCCCCUACCAGCUGAACCUAUUCCAAUACCAUGAACCCAUGCCAUGUCAGAGCAAGUACCAGCUGAACCUAUUACAAUGCCCUGAACCCAAAGCCUUGUCAGAGCAAGUACCAGCUGAAC
This is a non-coding RNA of Biomphalaria pfeifferi, 1119 nucleotides long. Lineage: Eukaryota; Metazoa; Mollusca; Gastropoda; Planorbidae. The record is from the annotation of a GenBank genome assembly.